UCGGUCUGGGGAAAGGCUCCUGUGUGGUUGAGCCUACCCGAGGUGGGCGCAGCCUCGUACCAGAAAGCCCGACCUUGACCUAAAGUAAAUUCCCAGAGGAAAAUCUUCCCUGGGGCGAGAAUUUGCAGUACCAGGUGUGGACAUCCUAGCAGCAGUUUGGUGAUCAUGUAUGAUACUGCAAACAGGC
Non-coding RNA from Meriones unguiculatus (Mongolian gerbil), 187 nucleotides. The record is from Ensembl. Lineage: Eukaryota; Metazoa; Chordata; Mammalia; Rodentia; Muridae.